UCACUUGCAUGAAAGGCGCCUUUUUGACUCCACGCUGGUGAUGGAGAAGAAAGGGGAUAUAAAGAAGACUGAGAUCAAAUUCCUGUCUUCAAGAAAUAUAUAAUCUAUAGAGGAGUUAAGAGUACGAAAACUUUACUGAGGGAGACGGCUUCUGAAAGACAGGAGGGGACUGGAAGCUGAGGUCGGCUGGAUAGAAGGGUCACGCCCCGGACGGAAUCGAGCCUGCUGGCUGGGAAGGCCCUCUUGGAGGC
Long non-coding RNA from Fukomys damarensis (Damara mole-rat), 251 nucleotides. RefSeq lists it as uncharacterized. NCBI's taxonomy places the organism in Eukaryota, Metazoa, Chordata, Mammalia, Rodentia, Bathyergidae. The record is from RefSeq and is a predicted model, not a curated record. The transcript is spliced from 3 exons.